UCCGUAGGUGAACCUGCGGAAGGAUCAUUAACACUUCAUCUCAACCCGCGGGCCUGCCUUUGCCGGUGGGCCCGCGGUUCAAGCUCCCUUGUGAUACGUUAAAGUCCCUGGCCCCAUGUACUUGGGGCCAGGGGUCCAUUUUUUACCCCUUCACGCUUUUGUCUGGAAGCUGUGGCCAUGUCGCCACGACAUUGAUAACCGAAGACAACUCUUAACAACGGAUAUCUCGGUUCUCGCAACGAUGAAGAGCGCAGCGAACUGCGAUAAGUAGUGUGAAUUGCAGAAUUCAGUGAAUCAUCAAACUCUUGAACGCACAUGGCGCCCUGUGGCAACGCAGGGCACGCCUGUCUGAGCCUCGGUAUUCAACCUCACAACCACCCAACGGGCGGAUGUGGAAGUGGGGAUUGCUUCGAGCAUUCCCUCAAAUGAAGCUGCCGGGCGCAGCGGGAUAGGGCCCCAAGCCGAUCCACCGCAACCAGUUUCUGAUGGCGCAUGCCUCUAAUCCUGGUGCUGGCUCGUUCUCUUGGCCGCCUCCCGCCGCCCACCCGGUACGACGCGGCCCGCGAGGGGGGGCACCCGUUC
This 582-nucleotide ribosomal RNA is filed under the name uncultured fungus. RNAcentral describes it as "eukaryotic LSU rRNA". The stretch from base 207 to 358 matches the Rfam family "5.8S ribosomal RNA". Lineage: Eukaryota; Fungi. The record is from RNAcentral.